CAACGCGAAGAACCUUACCAGGUCUUGACAUCCCACGAAUUCAUCUGAAAGGAUGGAGUGCCUUCGGGAGCGUGGAGACAGGUGGUGCAUGGUUGUCGUCAGCUCGUGUCGUGAGAUGUUGGGUUAAGUCCCGCAACGAGCGCAACCCUUGCUAUUAGUUGCUAACAGGUAGAGCUGAGCACUCUAAUGGGACUGCCGGUGACAAGCCGGAGGAAGGUGGGAUGACGUCAAAUCAUCAUGCCCUUUAUGACCUGGGCUACACACGUGCUACAAUGGAUGGUACAGAGAGCAGCGAGGCAGCGAUGUGGAGCGAAUCUCAAAAAGCCAUUCUCAGUUCGGAUUGGAGUCUGCAACUCGACUCCAUGAAGUCGGAAUCGCUAGUAAUCGCGAAUCAGCAUGUCGCGGUGAAUGCGUUCCCGGGCCUU
RNAcentral lists this ribosomal RNA (425 nucleotides) under uncultured Syntrophomonas sp. RNAcentral describes it as "bacterial SSU rRNA". It matches the Rfam family "Bacterial small subunit ribosomal RNA", at positions 957 to 1382 of the family's 1533-position model. Lineage: Bacteria; Bacillati; Bacillota; Clostridia; Eubacteriales; Syntrophomonadaceae. The record is from RNAcentral.